Molecule: ribosomal RNA, 455 nt
Filed under: uncultured bacterium
Lineage: Bacteria
Description: SSU rRNA
Rfam family: Bacterial small subunit ribosomal RNA
Source: RNAcentral
AGGAUGAACGCUGGCGGCGUGCCUAAUACAUGCAAGUCGAGCGGAAAGGCCUCUUCGGAGGUACUCGAGCGGCGGACGGCUGAGUAACGCGUAGGAACGUACCCCAAACUGAGGGAUAAGCACCAGAAAUGGUGUCUAAUACCGCAUGUGCUCUAAGGAGUAAAGCUUCGGCGGUUUGGGAACGGCCUGCGUAUGAUUAGCUUGUUGGUGAGGUAACGGCUCACCAAGGCGACGAUCAUUAGCUGGUCUGAGAGGAUGAUCAGCCAGACUGGGACUGAGAACGGCCCAGACUCCUACGGGAGGCAGCAGUAGGGAAUUUUCCACAAUGGGCGAAAGCCUGAUGGAGCAACGCCGCGUGCAGGAUGAAUGCCUUAGGGUUGUAAACUGCUUUUAUAUGUGACGAUUAUGACGGUAGCAUAUGAAUAAGGAUCGGCUAACUCCGUGCCAGCAGCCGC